GAUGAAGAACGUAGCGAAAUGCGAUAAGUAAUGUGAAUUGCAGAAUUCAGUGAAUCAUCGAAUCUUUGAACGCACAUUGCGCCCCUUGGUAUUCCGAGGGGCAUGCCUGUUCGAGCGUCAUUAUAACCCCUCAAGCUCAGCUUGGUGUUAGGGCCUGCUGCACUGGCAGCCCUUAAAAUCAGUGGCGGCGCCAUCUGGCUCUAAGCGUAGUAAUUCUUCUCGCUAUGGAGUCCUGGUGGAUGCUUGCCAUCAACCCCCAAUUUUUCUAUGGUUGACCUCGGAUCAGGUAGGGAUACCCGCUGAACUUAAGCAUAUCAAUAAGCGGAGGA
RNAcentral lists this unclassified non-coding RNA (329 nucleotides) under soil metagenome. RNAcentral's name for it is "partial contains 5.8S ribosomal RNA, internal transcribed spacer 2, and large subunit ribosomal RNA". The stretch from base 1 to 120 matches the Rfam family "5.8S ribosomal RNA", at positions 35 to 154 of the family's 154-position model. The record is from RNAcentral.